This is a long non-coding RNA of Cercocebus atys (sooty mangabey), 4014 nucleotides long. RefSeq lists it as uncharacterized. Lineage: Eukaryota; Metazoa; Chordata; Mammalia; Primates; Cercopithecidae. The transcript has 3 exons. The record is from RefSeq and is a predicted model, not a curated record.
CUUCCCCUGUUCUUUACAAUCUGGCCGCGGUUUCUGCGCCACCAGCGACCUCUUCGGGGCCCCGCUGACUUCCCUCUCGUAAACAGUCACCGGCAGGAAGAAGCACGACUGACUUUACGUUUUUUGAAGUUCAGAAACUUGAUUCUCCUUAUAUAUCCCGUGCAAGCUGCUUACACAAGGCCGGCAAAAGGUACUAGGAUACAGGCUCAAGACUGCUGAGAUGGGAAAAGAGUAAGCGGUGCGAGUUAUGUUCAAACACGCCCCAGAGGGCCAGGCUCAGCGCCCAGACUCCCGGGAAGGGGAGCAGAAGAGGACGCUCUCUUCUUGCUUUUCCUGGUCCUACAACUACUUCACCUCUCAGUGACCAGAGAGGCAAGUGGGGGGUGCAUAGUGGACUCUAGGAGGUCAUUGCCCUGGUAGACAUGAAGGGGAAAGAGCCCAGUCCUCCUAUACGCCGAUUUCAUUGCUGCCUCUCUUCCCUCCAUGGGGACGCUUCUGGACCUGAAAGAACCUCCCGAGGCAGAAAAGGCUCUAUCGUAGGCACAGAUCCUCUGAUGGGGUGGUUGACCCACGGAAGGGCUGCUCUCAUCAGCCACACUUUAUGUAAGAAUACUAUAUCACUAUUUAUAGAAGCUGUAGCACUUGAGGCCUGUGUGACUCACCCGAGGUCCCAAAGCUAGUAGUGGGAGUUGGGUUGGGAGUUGCACUCAAAUCUAUUUGACCCUCAGACCCACUAUACUAACCACUGCACAGCAGUACUUCCCAGCCAGAGCCCUUUUCCUCCACUUCCCAUAGGAGGAUGAGAUUUAAUUCAUUUAGUUCAGGCCACGUUGAGAAAUGGAAACCUCAGUUUCUGGUGCCUAUCAUCUCUGGCUCCCUACUCAUUUGUAUAUUCCAGUAAUGAACAAUUGGAUUUAAGGAGGAACCAGGAGCCACGAACCUCUGUGAUUCUAAGACUAGGCUCCUGAAAACCUUCAACAAAUUGGGCAUCUGAAGAAUUUUAUAUGGAAAAUUACAAAAUAUUAUCCUAGACUGAGAACUUACUCUUUAAGAAUAUGUCUUAACCGCGUUCACAUAUGAAUAUCUCUGGUUCAUGAUUUGAAACAUAUAUCAUGAGCUAGAGAGAUGUGUAGAUGAGGUGAGAGGUGCUGCACACACAGAGAGACACAUGUACACACACACACACACACACACACAAUAUUCUGCCCAGUUUUACAUUGUCCUAGCCCACUUUCUAAGGGAUGAGAAGGCUGUUUUGGGGCCCCAAGACAAGAGAAAAUCUUUUGUUCUGUCUCUGAAAACCCUGAAUAGAGUGUUAAUCAUUUGUUUCACAUUUAUCUCUAGAAUCAGGGUUUUAUAUGGAUUACUAUGCACAUUUUAGAAAUGUGACUUCCCCUAAGAGAAUUGAGUAGAUCAGUCAUUGCUCGUUAAUGUGAAUUACUUUAAUCAGUGCAAUGAGUAGCCCAGAACAGACUCCCGAUUAAUAACGUUUGAGCUUAAGAAGAGGGACUAGGAGACGGAAGGAGCAAAGCAGUGUUCAUAAUGUUUCAGGGACCACCUUCCACAACUGGACCUGUAUCUGAGGCCUGGCCCUGUAAUCUGAACACUCGCUGGAUAUAAAAUAGUGUGCAAGACCCUCUGUGUUCACAAGUCCCACCCCCAGGAAGUCCAGAGAGUUUUCUCACAGCGUGCUGUGGGAAAUAUCCCAAUUUUUUCUCCUAAGGAAAGGAAUCUGAGGAACAGGGAGAUGGAGCAGGAAGAAAGGAAACAAACAUCUGAGAAAAAUAAGUAAAUAUGAGAAUAAAUGUUAUUUUAAAAAACAAUGAAAAAGUUGUGAGGAAAGUACAAGGGGGCAAAGUCCAGCUUAGAAGAAACAAGCUACGACAUGAACUAUUUUAGGGAGAAUAAACAGGUCAAUCUUUAAAAGAUUGCGUUAAUAGACUCGCCGCCUAAAAUAACUCACAGAAGAAAAAGAAAAGAUAUCAAGAUACAAAGAAGUUUCACAUGGAAAAAAAUGCUUUGUAUUUUCACCCAACAAAAACUUAGUUGUUUGGGUAAAACUUUGUUCUUUGAAGUCCCAUAAAUAUCCCUUCAGGAAAAAAAAUUAAAUUUGAAGUACUUAGACUAAUGAAUGGUAUCUUUAUUCAAAGCAGAUAACAAAUCUAAUUAGAGGAAGUUAUGAACGAAUUUUAUUAGUAGUCUUAUAAUGGAAUAUACUUUAUUCAGCACCUUGACCUCCAUUCAAUAUCUUUAGCUUCUCAAUUUUUUCUCUCUCCAGUGACUCAUUUGACCUUUGUCCUCAAUGAUGACUAAUUGCAUCUCCUCCAAAAUCUCCUUUUCCCCCUUCACAACCUUCUAUCCUUCUCUGUUUGGCUUCUCUGGAACCCACCCUGUUUUUCGGUCUUUUCAAGAACUGUCAACUGUGUGUUCAUCCAUCUCAUGUGUUUACUUCUUUCUUUAUCCAGUUUUGAUUACUGAUCCAUCAUUCUGAUCCUUCUUGCAAACACCCCUUCAUUCUCCCUGUUUCUCUCAUCUUAUGUCCUACAGUGCUUGUCUGGUGAAACCCAGGCUCAGUUAAACCCAAUCAUGCAACUGGACUGGAUUGCAGAAAAACACACAGCGCUGAAUGGAUUAUAAAGCCCAUACUGCUGGGUUCACAGGGCUCUGCUGUGGUUCAGGAGUGUGCUUACCUGCCUGGGAAACUACAUCACCAGCUAGCUGCUUUUCUCUAUGGUACUUGCUGUGAAGUGGUCCAAGACGUUAUGUCACCCAGAGAAAUUGGACUGCGGAAUGAUGGGCGCUGUGUAAGGUUGGCUUGUUGGCAGUGAAAGUGGCAGCAGGAAGAUGAGUCAUCCAGUAAAAUGGUGAGGCUGGCUGGGCUCAGGCUGGUAAUGGGGAAGACAGAAAAAAGUUAACAAACUCAGGAUAUGUUUCUUUGGAGGUUUAGGGUAUAAACUUGUCAAUGAACUGGAUGAGGGGAAGUGAGAGAAGAACUAAGCUAAGAAUGAUACCUAAGGUUUUUGUCUGAGCACCUGGAAUGAUGCUGAAACUAUUUCUCUGUUUCUUGAAAUGCAGAAAACUGAAGCAGGAGCAGGCUUGGGAGAGGGGCAUGGGUAGCCCAAGCAACCAAGAGUUAUGAUCAGCUAUGUUAAUUAUGCGACUGGAUAUAUGAAUUUGGAGCUCCAGGGAAAGAUCAUGGCUAAAGACAUAAAUUCAGAAAUUAUUUCUAUCAAUGUGGUAUAUAAAAUCACAUAAUUAAAUAAAAUUACCUAGAGAAGCAUGUAGAUGGAAGGAAUAAAAGAUGGCACAGGACGAAGCCUUCAGGAAGUCCAACAUGCAGAGUUCAAACAGAAUAAGUUCACCCAGCAAAAGAGAUUGAGUGAGUAGUCAGAGGGGCCAGAGGAAAACCAGGAGAGUGUGGUGGUGUCACUGAAGCCAAAAGAACAAAAGUAUUCUAUGAAGGAGAGAAUGAUCCUCUGUAACAAAUGCUCGUAAGAUGUGGCAGAUACUCCUGCUUGUUCUCUGUACCCAUUUUCUCCAUUUUUCUUUUAGUAAUAGAAACCACUGAGCUCUAGCUGGACACAAAGCCACUUACAUGGAGACCACAUUCCCCAGUCUCUUUUGCAGCUAGAUGUGGCCAUGAGGCUGAACUUGAGUCAGCGGAGUGUGAGAAAAAGAAGCUUAUGCAAUGUGCUAUACUUGGCCUUACAGUAUUGGGUGUGCAUGCCCCCUUUCUCUUUUCCUGGUUUUCCAUUGGCUGGAAUGUGGACAUGGAAGGGGCUCAGCUUCCGUCAUGCACAUGAGGACAGUACUCCAAGGAAUAUCAGAGAAACUGGUGAAAGGAACCUAGGAACCUGAAUGCUCUUAAGAAGCGAGCCAUCUGUCUGCUGUGGAUUGCCUACUGCCAUUUGGACUCCCUUGUGAAAAAAAUAAAUUCUCUCUACAAUCACUGUAUUUUGGGGUCUCUAUUUUAACCUCAUAGCCCACACCAUAAAUAAUUCACAUAACAAGAAA